Molecule: ribosomal RNA, 253 nt
Filed under: uncultured bacterium
Lineage: Bacteria
Description: partial 16S ribosomal RNA
Rfam family: Bacterial small subunit ribosomal RNA
Source: RNAcentral
GACGGAGGAUGCAAGUGUUAUCCGGAAUCACUGGGCGUAAAGCGUCUGUAGGUGGUUUAAAAAGUCUACUGUUAAAGCUUGAAGCUUAACUUCAAAAAUGCCGUAGAAACUUUUAAACUUGAGUAUGGUAGGGGUAGAGGGAAUUUCCAGUGGAGCGGUGAAAUGCGUAGAUCUUGGAAAGACCACCAAUGGCGAAGGCACUCUACUGGGCCAUAACUGACACUAAGAGACGAAAGCUAGGGGGGCAAAUGGG